RNAcentral lists this ribosomal RNA (427 nucleotides) under uncultured bacterium. RNAcentral describes it as "partial 16S ribosomal RNA". It matches the Rfam family "Bacterial small subunit ribosomal RNA", at positions 506 to 930 of the family's 1533-position model. The record is from RNAcentral.
UGCCAGCAGCCGCGGUAAGACAGAGGGUGCAAACGUUGUUCGGAAUUACUGGGCGUAAAGCGUGUGUAGGCGGCYRSGYAAGUCGGAUGUGAAAGCCCCGGGCUCAACCCGGGAAGUGCACYCGAWACUGCKWRGCUCGAGUACCGGAGAGGUUGGUGGAAUUCUCGGUGUAGAGGUGAAAUUCGUAGAUAUCGAGAGGAACACCGGUGGCGAAGGCGGCCAACUGGACGAGUACUGACGCUGAGACACGAAAGCGUGGGGAGCAAACAGGAUUAGAUACCCUGGUAGUCCACGCCGUAAACGAUGGGUGCUAGGUGUCACGGGCUUUGACUCCYGUGGUGCCGUAGCMAACGCAUUAAGCACCCCGCCUGGGAAGUACGGCCGCAAGGCUAAAACUCAAAGGAAUUGANCGGGGGCCCGCACAAGA